GACAGAGGAUGCAAGCGUUAUCCGGAAUGAUUGGGCGUAAAGCGUCUGUAGGUGGCUUUUCAAGUCCGCCGUCAAAUCCCAGGGCUCAACCUCGAGCUGUCGGUGGAAACUGUCUGGCUAGAGUCCGGAAGAGGAGAGUGGAAUUCCUGGUGUAGCGGUGAAAUGCGCAGAUAUCAGGAAGAACACCUAUGGCGAAGGCAGCUCUCUGGGACGGUACUGACGCUGAGACGCGAAAGCGUGGGGAGCGAACAGG
Molecule: ribosomal RNA, 253 nt
Filed under: uncultured bacterium
Lineage: Bacteria
Description: partial 16S ribosomal RNA
Rfam family: Bacterial small subunit ribosomal RNA
Source: RNAcentral